GAUGCCUUUCGUUCACGGCGAAGUGAAGCGGCAACAGCUUCAAAUUUGAAAUCUGGCCCUCGGGUCCGAAUUGUAAUUUGUAGAGGAUGAUUUUGGUGCGGUAUCUUCCGAGUUCCUUGGAACAGGACGCCUUAGAGGGUGAGAGCCCCGUACGGUUGAAUGCCUAGCCUCUGUAAAUCUCCUUCGACGAGUCGAGUAGUUUGGGAAUGCUGCUCUAAAUGGGAGGUAAAUUUCUUCUAAAGCUAAAUAUUGGCCAGAGACCGAUAGCGCACAAGUAGAGUGAUCGAAAGAUGAAAAGCACUUUGAAAAGAGGGUUAAAUAGCACGUGAAAUUGUUGAAAGGGAAGGAUUUGUGACCAGACUUUUUCUGGGCGGAUCAUCCGGGGUUCUCUCCGGUGCACUUUGCCCAGUAAAGGCCAGCAUCGAUUUUCGGCGGCGGAUAAAAGCAGUGGGAAUGUGGCUCCCCACGGGGAGUGUUAUAGCCCAUUGUAUAAUACGCUGCUGGGGAUCGAGGUACGCGCUUCUGCAAGGAUGCUGGCGUAAUGGUUAUCAAUCACCCGUCUUGAAACACGGACCAAGGAGUCGAACAUUUAUGCGAGUGUUUGGGUGUUAAACCCUCACGCGUAAUGAAAGUGAACGGAGGUGAGAGCCCGUACGGGUGCAUCAUCGACCGAUCCUGAAGUUUUCGGAUGGAUUUGAGUAAGAGCAUAACUGUUCGGACCCGAAAGAUGGUGAACUAUGCGUGGAUAGGGUGAAGCCAGAGGAAACUCUGGUGGAGGCUCGCAGCGGUUCUGACGUGCAAAUCGAUCGUCAAAUCUGCGCAUGGGGGGCGAAAGACUAAUCGAACCAUCUAGUAGCUGGUUACCGCCG
This 869-nucleotide ribosomal RNA is filed under the name Pestalotiopsis brassicae. Its description in RNAcentral is "LSU rRNA". It matches the Rfam family "Eukaryotic large subunit ribosomal RNA", at positions 73 to 963 of the family's 3401-position model. The record is from RNAcentral. Lineage: Eukaryota; Fungi; Ascomycota; Sordariomycetes; Amphisphaeriales; Sporocadaceae.